CGUCAAGUAGCUCAGUGGUUUAGAGCAGUCGCCCGGCAGGCGAAAGACCCGGGUUCGGUUUCCGGUCUAGCGA
Molecule: transfer RNA, 73 nt
Filed under: Harpegnathos saltator (Jerdon's jumping ant)
Lineage: Eukaryota; Metazoa; Arthropoda; Insecta; Hymenoptera; Formicidae
Rfam family: tRNA
About the family: Transfer RNA (tRNA) molecules are approximately 80 nucleotides in length.
Source: Rfam by way of RNAcentral